This is a long non-coding RNA of Pseudoliparis swirei, 1475 nucleotides long. RefSeq lists it as uncharacterized. Lineage: Eukaryota; Metazoa; Chordata; Actinopteri; Perciformes; Liparidae. The record is from RefSeq and is a predicted model, not a curated record. The transcript has 2 exons.
CCCGUUGGGGUGAUGUCCACAUGUGAGUCCAGCCUGAGGAAGAGUGACCUCUGAGGCUGCCCUGCUCCAGCAGGAGCUCCCUACAUUCCACACGCACCACUUAAAACUGAUUUGCGUCAUCACAUCUUCUGACAGCGGUAUUUCUCUAUGUACAGUGUGUAAGUGUGUAUGUGAGUUCUGCUGGAGGCUGCCACAGAAGAAAAGAUGAGAAAGUAAAUUGUCUUGCUGUCGAAGAUGUUUAUAUUAAUUAAAAUAGAGCUUUAUGUUUGUAAUUGAAGGUGAUUGGCCUCACAGGGUGUUCUACUCUCGCAGCCACAUAAGAAAAGUGACACGAGUGAGCUGUAUUCUUGUAUUGUGACUCAUGUAAUCAGUACUUUUUACAGGGUGUCUGCGGGGCAUUAAAAAGUCUUAAAUUGCUUUUCCUAAAAAUAAGGCCUUAAAAAGUCUUAAAUUGUCUUAAAUUCAGAUUGGAUUGGUCUUAAAUUUUUUGGGUGUCAUGUCACUGCGAAUAUGAGGCAAUCUGUUCCACCAGGUCCGUAUUUUGCUCCGGUUGCUCUGCGGCGUCUCUGGUGUCACCGGGGCCACGCCCCUUCUCUUAAAGGGGCCCCGCGUAUUCGGUCCCAUCCCCUACAACGUGAAGCAUCGGCUAGUUUAGAAAACAUGGGGGAUGCAAGUUCAACAACGGCUAGAAAAGAACGAGUGUUUCUGGUCACGGUGGGUGAAAUGCUUCUGAAGCUGCGUUAUGUGUUGGGAGACUUUCCAGCGGUGGAAUCUCACGAGCAGAGCAAGAAGCACAGAGACUAGCGAAGGCCGCCAGCAGCCCGCGGGGCUAGCUGCUGCUCCGCCGCUAGCUCCUGCUCCGCCGCCAGCAACGACGUCAACGCUACAACGCUGGAGGUCACCGGAGGAAAUCCAGCGCCGUGCAACAAAGAGCUCAUCACCGAAGUCCAACGCUGCAGUGCGUUCUUCAUUCUGUUCCACGAGACUCUGGACCAGACCACCGCGAGCAGACAGCUGGACUUCAUGUGCGCUAUCGGUGAAAUGGCCACGUCCCGUCAGGAUCCUAUGGAGCUCAUGGGCCAUGACACGCCCAGGACCUACUUCAGCAUCUCAAAGAGAAUGGACCAAAUGUCAACUGGAAGUUUUUGUAUUCAUACAGUUUGAAAAGGAUUGUUUUCUAGUAUAUUCACAAAAGCUCAGGAGUAGACAUGAACCUGUGCACAAACAUCCAUCACAUAGAGACAUGAGAACUCACACUCACUCACCCACACACACAUACAUUCUAUUAUGUAAAUGAAUUUGCAUUUUAAAAGCAGCUGGAAAUGUUAUUUAUGUUAUUUUAUAGAUUUUUUUGUUCAAAAGGAACUAUGUUGCACGUAUUAAAAAAAUAUAUUUACUUGAUUUUAUAGACAUUUGUUCAUGGGACUUAAAUGUUCAGAAAAUGUUGUAUUAAUAAAUAUAAUUUACAACAGCAA